Molecule: small nuclear RNA, 137 nt
Organism: Nannospalax galili (Upper Galilee mountains blind mole rat)
Lineage: Eukaryota; Metazoa; Chordata; Mammalia; Rodentia; Spalacidae
Product: U4 spliceosomal RNA
Exons: 1
Source: RefSeq, a predicted model, not a curated record
AGCUUUGUGCAGUGAUAGUAUCAGAACCAAUGAGAUUUAUCUGAGGAAUGAUUAUUGCUGAUUGAAAACAAGCAAAAGAUUUAUUUUUUUGUUUAAUGUGUAUGAGUGUUUUGCUUGCAUGUAUGUGUACCACAUGC